CAGGGAAGGCGGGGCUACCCGCUGAUUUUAAGCAUAUCAAUAAGC
RNAcentral lists this ribosomal RNA (45 nucleotides) under Gwilymia paniculata. RNAcentral describes it as "Stryphnodendron paniculatum partial 28S ribosomal RNA". Lineage: Eukaryota; Viridiplantae; Streptophyta; Magnoliopsida; Fabales; Fabaceae. The record is from RNAcentral.